RNAcentral lists this ribosomal RNA (1185 nucleotides) under Triticum aestivum (bread wheat). RNAcentral describes it as "partial small subunit ribosomal RNA". The record is from RNAcentral. Lineage: Eukaryota; Viridiplantae; Streptophyta; Magnoliopsida; Poales; Poaceae.
AUGGCGGCUUCGCUGCGCACACGGGUCGGCCUAAUUAUCAUGCGGGGUAGCAAACACUCACGGGCUACACAGCCCACGUACUUGGCUCGGGCAGCCCACGGGCACAGAAUAGCUCGCCGGUGCUGCACCACAGUGACCUAUAGGCUAUCAUUGCGCAACAAAAAGCCAGCGUGUGUAUCUGAGCGUAAUCCUUCCAUGGCACCAGUGGCCGGAGGUGCGGCGACGGCGAUGCUGCAACUUCUCCUCGUCACUCACCUCAUCGUUGCCACCUGCAGCAGCCAACAGUACAUGAUCGCGAUGGAAGAAAGAAAUGACCUUAUUCUAUCUCGUUCCCACUCCUGUCCCAUCAUGAGAGUCUUCACAAGUUUCUUGCCUCCUCCAACGGCCUCGCUGGCCGGAGCGGGUAUGGGAGAGGAUGCCGCUCCGCUGGAUCUAGUGCGAGCGCUGAAAAUGGACCUCGACUCGUCAUCAAUUGAGCUGAGCUAUCGUUGUGGAGGAAGGAAAGAGAUGGGAGGGGAAGGAUCAGGCGGCCAACGAACUAUGGUGCUCAUCAAUAACCGCCCAAAUUUCUUAGCCCGAUACAACAAUUGCUGGGCCCUGAAGGCUUGGUGCUCUGACGCCCAUCAUGUGGCCGCCAAUCCAAAAGGGUGCAGUUUCCCUGCCCUCAGCCUGGCGUCCAUAGCGGCAGGUCUCAGAGGAGCUGUUGUGCCUGCACUCGUCUCGGUGCCCAUGCCGACAAUCACGGCUGACUCACCAGAUCAGUUCCGCGGCAAGCUUCGACUUCCACGUUUUGCUUUGCCAAGCCACUAUGAGCUCAAUUUCCGCCCUGACCUCAUGUCCUACACCUUCUCUGGUGUGGUGGCAAUUACUGUCGUCGUCUUAGCACCGACCCGAUUCCUCGUGCUCAAUGUUAUGGAACUCACCAUUGACCAUGCAUCCAUUUACUUCAAGUGUCAUGGUUCCCAGUUGUCCCAAUGUUUGGUGCCAACCGAGGUGGUGUUUUUCAAGGAUGACCAAAUUAUGGUGCUCAGGUUCCGUAAAGAGCUUCCACUAGGUGAGGGUGUUCUUAGGGUGCACUUCAAUGGCACCCUCAAUCAUGAGAUGAUGGGAUUUUACAGGAGGUAUGACAUCCUUUUUGCAUUUGUAUUUCAUGCACGAAAGCGUAAUAUUACCAAUUGGUAUUAG